AUUGAACGCUGGCGGCAGGCCUAACACAUGCAAGUCGAGCGGAGCGGCGGACGGGUAAGUAAUGCCUAGGAAUCUGCCUGGUAGUGGUGGAUAACGUCCGGUAAUGGGCGCUAAUACCGCAUCCUAUCAGAUGUGCCUAGGUCGGAUUAGCUAGUUGUGGGGGUAAAGGCCUACCAAGGCGACGAUGCGUAUCUGGUUUGAGAGGAUGAUCAGGCACACUGGAACUGAGACACGGUCCAGACUCCUACGGGAGGCAGCAGUGGGGAAUAUUGGACAAUGGGCGAAAGCCUGAUCCAGCCAUGCCGCGUGUGUGAAGAAGGUCUUCGGAUUGUAAAGCACUUUAAGUUGGGAGGCGUUACCAACAGAAGAAGCACCGGCUAACUUCGUGCCAGCAGCCGCGGUAAUUC
This 407-nucleotide ribosomal RNA is filed under the name uncultured bacterium. Its description in RNAcentral is "partial 16S ribosomal RNA". It matches the Rfam family "Bacterial small subunit ribosomal RNA", at positions 30 to 526 of the family's 1533-position model. The record is from RNAcentral.